Drosophila hydei is the source of this 753-nucleotide long non-coding RNA. RefSeq lists it as uncharacterized. NCBI's taxonomy places the organism in Eukaryota, Metazoa, Arthropoda, Insecta, Diptera, Drosophilidae. The record is from RefSeq and is a predicted model, not a curated record. The transcript is spliced from 12 exons.
UUUGUGGUUGAGUUGCUCAUUCGUCCCAAUCUGCAAUUAUUAAAAGCAUCAUUAAUUUUUAUAAACAUUUUGUUACUUUAUAAUACUUGUUAAUAUGUGACCUAUACAAUAGUAUAGGCAUUGCUUUGCUUUGUGUAAAAUCUGAAAUGAAUAAUGCUGCCACAUUGUGUUGCACGCACACGUGCUUGGAAGCCGGUAUCUGAAAGGGAUGCGACUGAGAUGAGGUUACAUGGACGCGUUCGUAAGCCGAUUUCUGCAAUGGAAACCCCAAAGAGCUCUUGGAUACAUUUGAGUGCUGAACGAACUCGUUUGAUGCAUGGAUUUCGUUAAGCAGAAGUUGUUGAGCUGUAAACCGCAAUAUUUAAAAGUUCUAGAUAAACAAACAAAAAGUAAAUGGAUGCAAUGGCGGGCCACUAAGGUUUUUUAAUGGCGGCUUGAAUAUUGUGGAAGCAUUGGAGAACUCAAUAUAUUGAGUGUAUCGUUGAAUAUCUCUGAAUGGGUCUCUUACAUUGAGUCCUUCUUUAGCCAGCUGCUGGUGAUGUCGAUUUUUAUGGAUUUCAAACGCUAAGCUCUGAAUGUAUUGCUGUCGACGGGCUGUAAUUGAAUCCAAAUCUGGGCAUUGUGCAAGUUGGCGGCUAUCUGCGAUUUUCAAUAUUCAGGACAGUUUCAAUAAGCUGCGACCAAAAAUCGGAUGCCAACUAAAUUCUUAAGAGCAAUUUGUGAAUAUAACUGAAUAAAAAGCAAACUACUUUA